RNAcentral lists this small RNA (27 nucleotides) under Bombyx mori (domestic silkworm). RNAcentral describes it as "ovarian small RNA-17907". The record is from RNAcentral. Lineage: Eukaryota; Metazoa; Arthropoda; Insecta; Lepidoptera; Bombycidae.
GUGGAUGUUAAAGGUACGCUUCACGGC